This 99-nucleotide small nucleolar RNA is filed under the name Peniophora sp. CONT. Its description in RNAcentral is "A. fumigatus snoRNA Afu_304". It matches the Rfam family "A. fumigatus snoRNA Afu_304". The record is from Rfam by way of RNAcentral. Lineage: Eukaryota; Fungi; Basidiomycota; Agaricomycetes; Russulales; Peniophoraceae.
UCGUAAGAUGAGAAAGAGCGAUACGCUCGAUUUAACCCAGCUCGUUGAAGCGGGAGUAACGCCCCAUUAUGCUCAUGAGAUAAAUUCAUACUCUGACUC